UGGGGGUUCGUCUAAUGGUAGGACAGCAGACUCUGGAUUUGCUUAUGGAGGUUCGAAUCCUUCACCCUCAG
Molecule: transfer RNA, 71 nt
Filed under: Anaerolineaceae bacterium
Lineage: Bacteria; Bacillati; Chloroflexota; Anaerolineae; Anaerolineales; Anaerolineaceae
Description: tRNA-Gln
Rfam family: tRNA
About the family: Transfer RNA (tRNA) molecules are approximately 80 nucleotides in length. Their secondary structure includes four short double-helical elements and three loops (D, anti-codon, and T loops).
Source: RNAcentral